UAAGGAAUAUUGGUCAAUGGACGCAAGUCUGAACCAGCCAUGCCGCGUGAAGGAUGAAGGUCCUCUGGAUUGUAUACUUCUUUUAUCUGGGACGAAAACGGGAUUUUUAUCUCAAUUGACGGUACCAGAGGAAUAAGCACCGGCUAACUCCGUGCCAGCAGCCGCGGUAAUACGGAGGGUGCGAGCGUUAUCCGGAUUUACUGGGUUUAAAGGGUGCGUAGGUGGGCUUAUAAGUCAGUGGUGAAAUCUCCGAGCUUAACUUGGAAACUGCCGUUGAUACUAUAGGUCUUGAAUUAUCUGGAGGUAAGCGGAAUAUGUCAUGUAGCGGUGAAAUGCUUAGAUAUGACAUAGAACACCAAUUGCGAAGGCAGCUUACUACAUAUAAAUUGACGCUGAGGCACGAAAGCGUGGGGAUCAAACA
This 421-nucleotide ribosomal RNA is filed under the name uncultured bacterium. RNAcentral describes it as "bacterial SSU rRNA". It matches the Rfam family "Bacterial small subunit ribosomal RNA", at positions 355 to 774 of the family's 1533-position model. The record is from RNAcentral.